This 229-nucleotide ribosomal RNA is filed under the name uncultured bacterium. RNAcentral's name for it is "partial 16S ribosomal RNA". It matches the Rfam family "Bacterial small subunit ribosomal RNA", at positions 568 to 796 of the family's 1533-position model. The record is from RNAcentral.
CGUGUAGGCGGCUGGGUAAGUCAGAUGUGAAAGUCCCGGGCUCAACCCGGGAUGUGCAUUUGAUACUGCUCAGCUAGAGUAAGGGAGAGGAAAGUGGAAUUCCUGGUGUAGGGGUGAAAUUCGUAGAUAUCAGGAGGAACACCGGUGGCGAAGGCGGCUUUCUGGCCCUAUACUGACGCUGAGACGCGAAAGCGUGGGUAGCAAACAGGAUUAGAUACCCUGGUAGUCC